This 813-nucleotide ribosomal RNA is filed under the name uncultured Lactobacillus sp. RNAcentral describes it as "bacterial SSU rRNA". It matches the Rfam family "Bacterial small subunit ribosomal RNA", at positions 8 to 790 of the family's 1533-position model. The record is from RNAcentral. Lineage: Bacteria; Bacillati; Bacillota; Bacilli; Lactobacillales; Lactobacillaceae.
AGAGUUUGAUCCUGGCUCACGACCAACGCUGGCGGCGUGCCUAAUACAUGCCAGUCCAACGAAACUUUCUUACCCCCAAUGCUUGCCUUCCCCGUAAGAAGUUGAGUGGCGGACGGGUGAGUAACACGUGGGUAACCUGCCUAAAAGAAGGGGAUAACCCUUGGAAACAGGUGCUAAUACCGUAUAUCUCUAAGGAUCGCAUGAUCCUUAGACGAAAGAUGGUUCUGCUAUCGCUUUUAGAUGGACCCGCGGCGUAUUAACUAGUUGGUGGGGUAACGGCCUACCAAGGUGAUGAUACGUAGCCGAACUGAGAGGUUGAUCGGCCACAUUGGGACUGAGACACGGCCCAAACUCCUACGGGAGGCAGCAGUAGGGAAUCUUCCACAAUGGACGCAAGUCUGAUGGAGCAACGCCGCGUGAGUGAAGAAGGUCUUCGGAUCGUAAAACUCUGUUGUUAGAGAAGAACACGAGUGAGAGUAACUGUUCAUUCGAUGACGGUAUCUAACCAGCAAGUCACGGCUAACUACGUGCCAGCAGCCGCGGUAAUACGUAGGUGGCAAGCGUUGUCCGGAUUUAUUGGGCGUAAAGGGAACGCAGGCGGUCUUUUAAGUCUGAUGUGAAAGCCUUCGGCUUAACCGGAGUAGUGCAUUGGAAACUGGAAGACUUGAGUGCAGAAGAGGAGAGUGGAACUCCAUGUGUAGCGGUGAAAUGCGUAGAUAUAUGGAAGAACAUCAGUGGCGAAAGCGGCUCUCUGGUCUGUAACUGACGCUGAGGUCCGAAAGCGUGGGUAGCCGACAGGAUUAGAUACCCUGG